AUGCGUGUGCAAGGGAAGUUGUCAAAGGCAGACGACAAGCAGGAGCUGGCCGCUGGACAAGGAGCAGCCAUUCACACCUGGAGCUGCUGUGCUUCCCGGAGCUCCACCCUAGACCGAGAAAAGCCCCACCUCUGGAACGGGCCUCCCUCUCCAGUCUUGCCCUCUGAGCCCCAGAGCUCAACCCCAGGCCCUGACCCCCACCACACAGACGUGGUCAGCCACACCCCCGGGCCAGGUGCUGCUCACACGCAGGCUCCCGCUCAGUGCCCAGGGAGUGAAAUGGGUCUGGCAUCACGGCCCAGGUCUAGCGUUCUCAGCUCGCCACAGAACCCCCUGGCAGCUGGCUCCCCGCCCCUGGGGCCGCCUCCCAUUCCUCCCCUGACCCAGGCCAAGCCCCUUCCCCUACUCACGAAGCAAGCCAGAAGACCUCUGCCAGAGACUUUAGGGACCGGUAGAGACCGCCUCGGACCAGAACUUUGCCACAGAGACCGCCCUCCACCACCUCCCACACCCUACCGGAAACGGAAGCUCUGCGUGCCUACUCACUUUGGCCGGAAGCGGAAAUGGGGGGCAGCCCUCCCAGGGCCGGAAACGCAACCGCCAGGCAUGCAUUUUCCCCUGUCGCCAGGGGUCCAGUGGCUGUGGGAGGGUGCGCAGGACAGCUCCUGGCUUCCACAACGAAGAAUUAUCAGUAGCUCCGUGGUUGGGAAAAACUGCAGAGGGGCCGGGAGUAGAUGACUGGACAAGAAACAGGUGA
This 757-nucleotide long non-coding RNA is filed under the name Oryctolagus cuniculus (rabbit). RNAcentral describes it as "lncRNA (ENSOCUG00000037941.1)". The record is from RNAcentral. Lineage: Eukaryota; Metazoa; Chordata; Mammalia; Lagomorpha; Leporidae.